Molecule: ribosomal RNA, 508 nt
Filed under: uncultured bacterium
Lineage: Bacteria
Description: bacterial SSU rRNA
Rfam family: Bacterial small subunit ribosomal RNA
Source: RNAcentral
CUACGUGCCAGCAGCCGCGGUAAUACGUAGGUGGCAAGCGUUGUCCGGAAUUAUUGGGCGUAAAGCGCGCGCAGGCGGAUUGGUCAGUCUGUCUUAAAAGUUCGGGGCUUAACUCCGUGAUGGGAUGGAAACUACCAAUCUAGAGUAUCGGAGAGGAAAGUGGAAUUCCUAGUGUAGCGGUGAAAUGCGUAGAUAUUAGGAAGAACACCAGUGGCGAAGGCGACUUUCUGGACGAAAACUGACGCUGAGGCGCGAAAGCCAGGGGAGCGAACGGGAUUAGAUACCCCGGUAGUCCUGGCCGUAAACGAUGGGUACUAGGUGUAGGAGGUAUCGACCCCUUCUGUGCCGGAGUUAACGCAAUAAGUACCCCGCCUGGGGAGUACGACCGCAAGGUUGAAACUCAAAGGAAUUGACGGGGGCCCGCACAAGCGGUGGAGUAUGUGGUUUAAUUCGACGCAACGCGAAGAACCUCACCAGGUCUUGACAUUGAKGACAGAACUAGAGAUAG